Molecule: ribosomal RNA, 579 nt
Filed under: uncultured fungus
Lineage: Eukaryota; Fungi
Description: partial 28S ribosomal RNA
Rfam family: Eukaryotic large subunit ribosomal RNA
Source: RNAcentral
UCAGCGGCGAGCGAAGAGGGACCAAACUCGUUGCCGAAUCGGGCCUCAAAGGCCUUGAGUUGUGGCAUAAACGCCGCUCUGUGAAUGGUGCGGGAAUGGCGAAAUUCAAGCGCAAAGCAAACCUAUUGCUGAACACAACCCUUCAUGUGAGUAUUGAGCCAAAGAAGGUGUCAGCCCAUUGAGCCAUGAACCCGAGCAUCUCACUUGAGCGGUUCCAAGAGAGUAGCACUGUUUGGGAAUGCAGUGUCAAGCGGCAGGUAUGUGUCUGCCAAAGUUAAAUACAGAGUAGGAAGACCGAUAUCGAACAAGUAGCGUGAGCGAAAGUUUGAAAAGCACUUUGGAAAGAGAGUGACAUAGAACCUGAAGUCGUGACAAUGAUAAUGAAAGUACCUCCAUUUCAAUAUUUCGGCCAAAACCAACCUCACAGCAUUAUCCGUUCGGGAACUAGGCCGCAAGGCUGAAUCCGGGCGGCAACCAAAGUGCAAGAAUGAGGGGAAAUGGUGAAACGGGCGAGGAAGAAGGGACGUCGGACCCCUCCUUAACCAAGGGGCGCCGGCGUUCCUCCCUCGUGAUGCUCGA